CGGGUGAGUAACACGUGGGUAACCUGCCCAUCAGAAGGGGAUAACACUUGGAAACAGGUGCUAAUACCGUAUAACAAUCGAAACCGCAUGGUUUUGAUUUGAAAGGCGCUUUCGGGUGUCGCUGAUGGAUGGACCCGCGGUGCAUUAGCUAGUUGGUGAGGUAACGGCUCACCAAGGCGACGAUGCAUAGCCGACCUGAGAGGGUGAUCGGCCACAUUGGGACUGAGACACGGCCCAAACUCCUACGGGAGGCAGCAGUAGGGAAUCUUCGGCAAUGGACGAAAGUCUGACCGAGCAACGCCGCGUGAGUGAAGAAGGUUUUCGGAUCGUAAAACUCUGUUGUUAGAGAAGAACAAGGAUGAGAGUAACUGUUCAUCCCUUGACGGUAUCUAACCAGAAAGCCACGGCUAACUACGUGCCAGCAGCCGCGGUAAUACGUAGGUGGCAAGCGUUGUCCGGAUUUAUUGGGCGUAAAGCGAGCGCAGGCGGUUUCUUAAGUCUGAUGUGAAAGCCCCCGGC
This 519-nucleotide ribosomal RNA is filed under the name Enterococcus hirae. RNAcentral describes it as "partial 16S ribosomal RNA". It matches the Rfam family "Bacterial small subunit ribosomal RNA", at positions 103 to 608 of the family's 1533-position model. Lineage: Bacteria; Bacillati; Bacillota; Bacilli; Lactobacillales; Enterococcaceae. The record is from RNAcentral.